RNAcentral lists this ribosomal RNA (255 nucleotides) under uncultured bacterium. RNAcentral describes it as "partial 16S ribosomal RNA". It matches the Rfam family "Bacterial small subunit ribosomal RNA", at positions 793 to 1055 of the family's 1533-position model. The record is from RNAcentral.
GUCCACACAGUAAACGAUGAAUACUCGCUGUUUGCGAUAUACAGUAAGCGGCCAAGCGAAAGCGUUAAGUAUUCCACCUGGGGAGUACGCCGGCAACGGUGAAACUCAAAGGAAUUGACGGGGCCGCACAAGCGGAGGAACAUGUGGUUUAAUUCGAUGAUACGCGAGGAACCUUACCCGGGCUUGAAUUGCAACUGAAUGAUGUGGAGACAUGUCAGCCGCAAGGCAGUUGUGAAGGUGCUGCAUGGUUGUCGU